UAAGGGACUGAGCGGCGGACGGGUGAGUAACGCGUGGGUAACCUGCCUCAUACAGGGGGAUAACAGUUGGAAACGGCUGCUAAUACCGCAUAAGCGCACAGUACCGCAUGGUACAGUGUGAAAAACUCCGGUGGUAUGAGAUGGACCCGCGUCUGAUUAGCUAGUUGGAGGGGUAACGGCCCACCAAGGCGACGAUCAGUAGCCGGCCUGAGAGGGUGAACGGCCACAUUGGGACUGAGACACGGCCCAGACUCCUACGGGAGGCAGCAGUGGGGAAUAUUGCACAAUGGGGGAAACCCUGAUGCAGCGACGCCGCGUGAAGGAAGAAGUAUCUCGGUAUGUAAACUUCUAUCAGCAGGGAAGAAAAUGACGGUACCUGACUAAGAAGCCCCGGCUAACUACGUGCCAGCAGCCGCGGUAAUACGUAGGGGGCAAGCGUUAUCCGGAUUUACUGGGUGUAAAGGGAGCGUAGACGGAAGAGCAAGUCUGAUGUGAAAGACUGGGGCUUAACCCCAGGACUGCAUUGGAAACUGUUUUUCUUGAGUGCCGGAGAGGUAAGCGGAAUUCCUAGUGUAGCGGUGAAAUGCGUAGAUAUUAGGAGGAACACCAGUGGCGAAGGCAGCUUACUGGACGGUAA
RNAcentral lists this ribosomal RNA (637 nucleotides) under uncultured Lachnospiraceae bacterium. Its description in RNAcentral is "bacterial SSU rRNA". It matches the Rfam family "Bacterial small subunit ribosomal RNA", at positions 84 to 739 of the family's 1533-position model. The record is from RNAcentral. Lineage: Bacteria; Bacillati; Bacillota; Clostridia; Lachnospirales; Lachnospiraceae.